Molecule: ribosomal RNA, 503 nt
Filed under: uncultured bacterium
Lineage: Bacteria
Description: bacterial SSU rRNA
Rfam family: Bacterial small subunit ribosomal RNA
Source: RNAcentral
GAUGAACGCUGGCGGCGUGCCUCAAACAUGCAAGUCGAGCGGGGCUAUGUUGGACCGUAAGGGAAGAUAUAGCCUAGCGGCGAACGGGUGAGUAACACGUGGGUAACCUACCUGGAAGACAGGGAUAACGAUUCGAAAGGGUCGCUAAUACCUGAUAAUAUCUAACAGUCGGAUGGCAGUUAGAAGAAAGGGGAAACCCGCUUUCAGAUGGGGCCCGCGUCCCAUCAGCUAGUUGGUAAGGUAAAGGCUUACCAAGGCGACGACGGGUAGCCGGUCUGAGAGGAUGUACGGCCACACUGGGACUGAGAUACGGCCCAGACUCCUACGGGAGCAGCAGUUGGGAAUCUUAGGCAAUGGGCGAAAGCCUGACCUAGCGACGCCGCGUGAGGGAAGAAGGCCUUCGGGUCGUAAACCUCUGUCAUGGGGGACGAAGGAAGUGACGGUACCCCAAGAGGAAGCCCUGCUAACGUACGUGCCAGCAGCCGCGGUAAAACGUGUGUGUA